Molecule: ribosomal RNA, 253 nt
Filed under: uncultured bacterium
Lineage: Bacteria
Description: partial 16S ribosomal RNA
Rfam family: Bacterial small subunit ribosomal RNA
Source: RNAcentral
UACGAAGGGGGCUAGCGUUGCUCGGAAUCACUGGGCGUAAAGCGCACGUAGGCGGCUUUCUAAGUCAGGGGUGAAAUCCUGGAGCUCAACUCCAGAACUGCCUUUGAUACUGGAGAGCUUGAGUCCGGAAGAGGUGAGUGGAACUCCGAGUGUAGAGGUGAAAUUCGUAGAUAUUCGGAAGAACACCAGUGGCGAAGGCGACUCACUGGCCCGUUACUGACGCUGAGGCGCGAAAGCGUGGGGAGCAAACAGG